Molecule: long non-coding RNA, 521 nt
Filed under: Chinchilla lanigera (long-tailed chinchilla)
Lineage: Eukaryota; Metazoa; Chordata; Mammalia; Rodentia; Chinchillidae
Description: lncRNA (ENSCLAG00000025455.1)
Source: RNAcentral
GUGAUGUCAUUUUAUACAGGAGUGUCCUUGAUGGCUCUGUUUAAGAACACUAACUUCAAAACAGUAAAUCUUAGCACUUGAGAUAGAAUGCUACAAAGUUACUGACUAUGACAAGAACAUGCUUGCAGAAGUAUUUUGGUUUCAAGGUCUCCACGUUAAAAACCUUGGAAUAAUUAAAAUGAAUUAGUAUGCAGUGUUUGACAUUUGCAAUAGAACAAAAACGUAAAACAGGAGAUGUGACACUCAUCUUUCUCCCUGACUAUGGCAUCCUCCCUUCUUCAUGUAUAGAAGUCACUGCCAUUUGCCAUUACGUCCCUGGAAGGCUACAAAUGAAACAUUGCUCUUUACGGCUGGUAAACAACACAGUUGACUCAAAAACAAGGUUGAAACAAACUACAUAUCCUGCAACUGGAAAAUUUCAUGAAAAUUUUGUAUUUCCUUUUAAAUUUUUAACUAAGAUUUAAACCAGGAUAAUAGAUUACUCUUUAGUUCUCAUUGCUGCUCCAAAUAUUAUUUGUUUA